Parambassis ranga (Indian glassy fish) is the source of this 144-nucleotide small nuclear RNA. Its record names the gene U1. It matches the Rfam family "U1 spliceosomal RNA". From Rfam's summary of the family: U1 is a small nuclear RNA (snRNA) component of the spliceosome (involved in pre-mRNA splicing). Its 5' end forms complementary base pairs with the 5' splice junction, thus defining the 5' donor site of an intron. The record is from Ensembl. Lineage: Eukaryota; Metazoa; Chordata; Actinopteri; Ambassidae.
AUACUUACCAGGCAGGGGAGAUACCAUGAUCAGGAAGGUGGUUCACCCAGAGCCAGGCUCAGCUACGUAUAUCAUCAUUUGAUAUUGAUGUAAAGUUUUUUGUGUGUGGUACUUUCAAAUAAACGUUUGUUAAACUGGUACCUU